This 332-nucleotide ribosomal RNA is filed under the name uncultured bacterium. RNAcentral's name for it is "bacterial SSU rRNA". It matches the Rfam family "Bacterial small subunit ribosomal RNA", at positions 568 to 898 of the family's 1533-position model. The record is from RNAcentral.
CGUGUAGGCGGCCAGGUAAGUCAGAUGUGAAAACCCUUGGCUUAACCAAGGAAGUGCAUUUGAAACUGUCUGGCUUGAGUACGGGAGGGGGAAGCGGAAUUCCCGGUGUAGAGGUGAAAUUCGUAGAUAUCGGGAGGAACACCGGUGGCGAAGGCGGCUUUCUGGACCGAUACUGACGCUGAGACGCGAAAGCGUGGGGAGCAAACAGGAUUAGAUACCCUGGUAGUCCACGCCGUAAACUUUGGGCACUUGGUGUUGCGGGUAUUGACCCCUGCAGUGCCGAAGCUAACGCAUUAAGUGCCCCGCCUGGGGAGUACGGUCGCAAGGCUAAA